RNAcentral lists this ribosomal RNA (580 nucleotides) under uncultured bacterium. RNAcentral describes it as "bacterial SSU rRNA". It matches the Rfam family "Bacterial small subunit ribosomal RNA", at positions 35 to 610 of the family's 1533-position model. The record is from RNAcentral.
GCUGGCGGCGUGCCUAACACAUGCAAGUCGAGCGGUAACGCGGGAGCAAUCCUGGCGACGAGCGGCAAACGGGUGAGUAAUGCUUCGGAAUCUGCCCAGUAGUGGGGAACAACCAGCCGAAAGGUUGGCUAAUACCGCAUACGUCCUACGGGAGAAAGCGGGGGAUCGCAAGACCUCGCGCUAUUGGAUGAGCCGAAGUCGGAUUAGCUAGUUGGUAGGGUAACGGCCUACCAAGGCGACAAUCCGUAGCUGGUCUGAGAGGACGACCAGCCACACUGGGACUGAGACACGGCCCAGACUCCUACGGGAGGCAGCAGUGGGGAAUAUUGGACAAUGGGGGCAACCCUGAUCCAGCGACGCCGCGUGUGUGAAGAAGGCCUGCGGGUUGUAAAGCACUUUUAGUGGGGAUGAAAAGCUCAGGGUUAACACCUCUGGGUCUUGACCUAACCCACAGAAAAAGCACCGGCUAACUCUGUGCCAGCAGCCGCGGUAAUACAGAGGGUGCAAGCGUUAAUCGGAAUUACUGGGCGUAAAGCGUGCGUAGACGGUUUCGUAAGUCGGGUGUGAAAGCCCCGGGCUC